RNAcentral lists this ribosomal RNA (261 nucleotides) under uncultured archaeon. RNAcentral describes it as "partial 16S ribosomal RNA". It matches the Rfam family "Archaeal small subunit ribosomal RNA", at positions 748 to 1008 of the family's 1478-position model. The record is from RNAcentral.
AGGGUGUAAACGCUGCCGACUUGGUGUUGGAGGCCCUUCGGGGGCAUUCAGUGCCGGAGAGAAGUUGUUAAGUCGGCCACUUGGGGAGUACGUCCGCAAGGAUGAAACUUAAAGGAAUUGGCGGGGGAGCACCGCAACGGGAGGAGCGUGCGGUUUAAUUGGAUUCAACACCGGAAAACUCACCAAGGGCGACUGUUACAUGAAGGCCGAGAUGAAGACUCUGCUAGAUUUUCAGAGAGGUGGUGCAUGGCGUCAGUGACU